GUGACAACACAAAGGUCCUCUGUUGU
RNAcentral lists this small RNA (26 nucleotides) under Bombyx mori (domestic silkworm). Its description in RNAcentral is "ovarian small RNA-17828". The record is from RNAcentral. Lineage: Eukaryota; Metazoa; Arthropoda; Insecta; Lepidoptera; Bombycidae.